GAUGAACGCUGGCGGCGUGCUUAACACAUGCAAGUCGAACGAGAAAUGUAGACGGAAACCUUCGGGCGGAAGCCUUCAUUUCGAGUGGCGGACGGGUGAGUAACGCGUGGGUAACCUGCCUCAUACAGGGGGAUAACAGUUGGAAACGACUGUUAAUACCGCAUAAGACCACAGCAUCGCAUGAUGCGGGGGUAAAAACUCCGGUGGUAUGAGAUGGACCCGCGUUCGAUUAGCCAGUUGGCGGGGUAACGGCCCACCAAAGCGACGAUCGAUAGCCGAUCUGAGAGGAGGACCGGCCACAUUGGGACUGAGACACGGCCCAAACUCCUACGGGAGGCAGCAGUGGGGAAUAUUGCACAAUGGGGGAAACCCUGAUGCAGCGACGCCGCGUGAGUGAAGAAGUACUUCGGUAUGUAAAGCUCUAUCAGCAGGGAAGAAAAUGACGGUACCUGAGUAAGAAGCCCCGGCUAACUACGUG
Molecule: ribosomal RNA, 478 nt
Filed under: uncultured bacterium
Lineage: Bacteria
Description: partial 16S ribosomal RNA
Rfam family: Bacterial small subunit ribosomal RNA
Source: RNAcentral